UGUUGUGCACAAACAAUGAAUCAUGGAACACCACAUCUAAAACUAAUGAUGUAAUGUAGGGGAUUAACAUAAGAAUAAAAAAAAGAAGAAGAAAAGCACACUGGUAUAAGAUUGAGAUUUGGGUUUUCUAUGUUAAAAUGACAAGGUUUUCUUGGAUUGUUAGUGUACUCUUUUUUUCUUUCUUAAGAUUGUAUUUAUUUAUUUGACAGAGAGAGACACAGCGAGAGAGGGAACACAAGCAGGGGGAGCGGGAGAGGGAGAAGCAGGCUCCCGGCCAAGCAGAGAGCCCGAUGUGGGGCUCGAUCCCAAGACCCUGGGAUCAUGACCUGAGCCGAAGGCCGACAGACGCUUGACGACUGAGCCACCCAGGCGCUCCUCCGAGAUUUUAUUUUUUAAAUAAUCUCUACACUGAACGUGGGGCUCGAACUCACAACCCUGAGAUCAAGAGUCGUGCUCUCUACCGACUGAGCCAGCCAGGUGCCCCUGGACUGUCAUCUCGAAGAGACACAUGCGUAGACUCAGAUAUGGCCCUGCUACCAAAUACUGGCUGUCUCUGCAGAAGUCUGGACUCAAGGUCAACUGAUAAUGGCUGCAGCCUAUGAAGAAGCGAGGUCCUGAUUCCUUACCUGAGAAAAGGAGCCUAAGACCCCAUCCAGGUUGUACCAGCUCUCAGAGCAUGCCCACAGCCUCUUCUCCUUGUCCUCAGAUAACCUCCUGACAUCAGGGACUCAGUUUUGCCUCAUUCAGAUGUCAGGUCUCCACCCCGAAGUAAACAUGGGAAUCUAUGAGAAAUUAGAUCCCAUCCAGCAAGAGCUGAAUCCGAGUCCUCUGCUCACCCCACGACGGAAAAGAAUAUGCACAGGCCUGCAUCCCUCUUCUCCUUCUCCACCAUGUCGGAAGAAAAGAUUUUACUGGACAGAGACACAGCGAGAGAGGGAACGCAAGCAGAGGGAGUGGGAGAGGGAGAAGCGGGCUUCCCGCCGAGCAGGGAGCCCGAUGCGGGGCUCGAUUAUCGGGACCCUGGCACCCUGGCACCCUGGCACCCUGGGAUCAUGACCUGAGCCGAAGGCAGACGCUUAAUGACUGAGCCACCCAGUCGCCCCCCACUUUCCACCUUGACCGUGCCUAGUCGUCCACCCGUCUAGUCCUCUUGGCCGCGCCUGGUCUUGCCCUCGAAUGUGUUCGUCUGGAGCACAGAGCUAGAUCCAGAGAAUGAGAGAAUGAGAUCGAUGGACCCACGGACGGAAAUCAAGUUUCUCUUUCCCUGAAAUGACCUAGGACACUCCUCUUCUAGUCAGCUCCCAUCCUGCUCCCCCACCCCCAACAACCUCUCAUCGGACCUUCCCCUUUUGCCACCAGAAAGCUUUUCCACUCCUCCGCCUGGCCUGCGUUUGCUUGGCGUCUCUGCCAGACCCAGGCGGUGGUGGCCGACCGCAGACUCUCUUGCCCUCAAGAAAUGAUUCCCGCUCUCAUGUGGGUGAUCUUUUAUCUCCACAGAGGUGGCUCACAAAGCUGCACAACCUUCACUGCAAUUUCCAGAACAUUUCCAUCACCGCCAAAAGAAAUAAACACCUCUACUACCCCUCCCCCCUUCCUGUCCGCGCCUCGCCCCCACCCGCCGUCACCGUCGCCCUCGCCGUCACCGUCGCCCUCGCCCUCACCCGGGCUCUCUUCACUGUUCUCCCCCAACAGGGAGUAGAAAGGGAAGUUAGAGGGAACAUUCUUCCUCCCCUACACCUGCUGAACGCACAUGGACACACACCGCAACCCUCCCCGCCAGGCGCGCGCACCCACCCACCCCCGCCCCGCCAAGCCCCGCCCCGCCACGCCACGCCACGCCACGCCCCCCAUCCCGGCCUUACGUGUACCUUACGUACCUCUGCACGGACUCGAGAUUUGGCAAUAGCCUUGAUUGCCCUGCAAUGUUUCCAAACCUCGGCGCUCCCCAACCUUCCCCACCCCGACCCCCGCCCCUUCGAAGAAGAACUAACCUAAUUCGGGGAGCUUCCAGGUUGCUUGAACGCCUGAAAUGGUGGGGACAGAGGCGUUCCUGGAGAGGGGUCACGGAACACGGAAGCUCUGCCCCCCUUCCCUUUGCCUCUGUUCCAUCUGGAGUUUCCUCAGUUGUAUCCUUUUAGGACACAGCGGUCAUGUAAGAAAUGAGAAAAAAAAGGACUGAAGGACUGAACCGGGCUAGACUGGUUUAAAAUUCUUCACUAGCGUCCAUGCCGAAUACAUUUCGACGACAGGGGCCUUCGCACGGCUUUUGGUGCACAGAAGACCGAUGCACCGAAGCCUGCCGAUCUCGGGACGUGUCCACGAGGGGAAAGAGUGUCAGCCUAUCGGAAAAGAGAGUCGGUUAACGUAGAUUGCAAAGGCAUUCGUUCAUCCCGAGAGACUUCCUCUCCAUGAUGGCGGGUGGCGCGAGAUGGAAGAGUUGGCUUCCAUGAAAAAGGGGCCCUUUCUUGAAGACCCUGCCCAGCUAUCGGGGUUUUGUUGGUUUGUGUUUUGUCAUCUGUGAUAGGAAGGCAUCUUCUUAGCCAUCGGGAGGGAAACCUCAACAAAUUCAGCCAUUCAGAUCACAAGGGAUUUCUUGGGUUUGGUGGAUCUGAGAUCUGGUCUGCCUCCGACUGCUCCCCGAGAUUGCCUUUAUGCCGAGAAUGGGAUUCCUCAUCAGACACACAGAAGUCCGGCUCCUUGCCACGGAGCUGGCUGCUCUAUGGAUGCCUUUAAAAAGGAAGCCUGCCUUUAAUUCGGACGUCGGAACGUGAUCGGUCGCUUUUUCAUGGGGGGUUGGCCAAUUAAAUUUCCCCCGCCUUGGGCGCCUGGGUGGCUCAGUUGGUUAAGCGGCUGCCUUCGGCUCCGGUCAUGAUCCUGGAGUCCCUGGAUCGAGUCCCGCAUCGGGCUCCCUGCUCAGCAGGGAGUCUGCUUCUCCCUCUGACCCUCCCCCCUCUCAUGUGCUCUCUCUCAUUCAUUCUCUCUCUCUCUCUCUCUCUCUCUCUCUCUCUGUCUCAAAUAAAUAAACAAACAAACAAACAAACAAAUAAAUAAAUAAAUAAAAUCUUAAAAAAAAAAAAUUCCCCCCGCCUUACAAAGCAGAGACUGGUGAAGGGUCCUCCAAGUGCCCUCUGGAAAUCAAGAGCUUCUGUAUCAAGAGGCUGGAAAACGCAUCUUCCCCUUCUUCCUGGUGAAUCCAAUUCUAGGGGUUGAUUCAAAGGAAAUCAUGUUUUAGAUGCUAAAACGUAAAGCUUACUUUUGCAAAAAUGUGCAUCGCGGCAUAGGGUUUAGGAAUCCCUUGUGGCAGACCGACAACCGUGUGUCCCUCACGUCCCGGCACGUGUGCACCCUCACGUCCUAUGACUUCGAUGCUCCUGCUAUCCAGAGGUAGGCUUGAUUGCUCUGUCCCUUGAUUUUGGACCGGGUCUUGGGACUUGUCUUGACCCAAAGAAUAGAGCAGAAGUGACACUUGGCUGGUUUCACAGCCUACACCUGAAGAGGUGGUCUGCCGGCGUUCUCGACCUUCUUGGCAUGCCGUCCUGAGACCUCCACGUAAGAAAGCCAGUCUAGCUGACUGGAGCAUGAGAGGCAUUGACAACAGAGGCAGCCCGGUGCUCGGCGGCACCGACUGCCAGACGUGUGAAAGUUGACCCUCUGGCCGAAAGCCACUGCUUGAGUGAGCCCGGCGUAAACCCGCAGAACCCAAGGGGCCACCCAGGGCAAGCACCAGGAAGUUAUCGAUAAAGAAAUGCUGUUUCGAGCCAUUGCGGUGUUAGGAUGAUGCACCCUGAGGAUCAGCUAGCUGCGCAGCAGCGAUAGAUACCGUGCACACAGAUACACACCACACAACACACCACACCACACCCCCCCCCCACACACACGUGUGCAGAAAACCAAACCAACGAAACAAACCAAAACUCUGUAGAACCCUGCACCAAAUGUUGAGGAAACAACGGCCCACCCUCACAAGAAACACCUGCACGCUACAUGUACAAUGCAUAGGGAGCCUAUACUUGCAAGUGCUUACUUGCAUGGGAAACAUUUCACGAUAACAUGAGUCUCAGAUGGCCCAAGCGGGGUUCUUUUGACAUGUCUGAAUUGUGUACACAAUUAGAGAAAGCCUGCUAGGAGACUGGGUGAUCAGAAACUAGGAAGCUCUUUGGUUCCCUCAGUGAAGCCCCGACUUUUGGGGAGGAACCAACACUCAGGGAGAUGCUCUGGUCUUCAUUUGGUUGGUUGGUUGGUUGGUUGGUUGGUUGGUUGGUUGCUGCAGCUUUUGCUAUCUUUGCAUAAAACCGACCCUGUUUCCAUUGGGAAUGGAAAACAACUGACGGGUGGGAUCUGUACACGGUAAUGCUGCUUCGCAGUUGCAUUUGUUUUACUAAAAGAGGGAGAUUUGAACAUUGGGUCUUUCGUGUCCUCUCCAUUCAUGUCCUCUCCACAAAUAAGACUGAAACAAAGGCUAAAAUUUGUUUGCAUCUUGUUUGUGUCUAUGUGUCCGUAUGUGUUAUACAUGUGAGGUAUUUCCUCCACCUCCGGGUGCUAUUGCUAACAUCCAUUUGUAAAGGAGCUCUAUUUAAUGAGUUCUAUUUUUAUUUUAUUUUAUUUUAUUUUAUUUAUUUUAUUCUUUAAAGAUUUUAUUUAUUUAUUUGACAGAGAGAGACACAGCGAGAGAGGGAACACAAGCAGGCGGAGUGGGAGAGGGAGAAGCAGGCUUCCCGCCGAGCAGGGAGCCCGAUGCAGGGGCUUGAUCCCAGGACCCUCGGAUCAUGACCUGAGCUAAAGGCAGACGCUUAACCACUGAGCCAUCCAGUCAAAAUAAUGAAGAAGAGGAGGAAGACAGGCCGAUGCUAGAAAUCUGAAAUCCACUCCUCCUCCUCCCCAAGUACAGGCACCAGAACCGAUGCCCAACCCACUGGCUUCCGGAGGGCUGAAAAGCCACCACAGACAAAGCCUAUUAAGCAGAAGGAGAUGAAGA
Long non-coding RNA from Mirounga angustirostris (Northern elephant seal), 4975 nucleotides. RefSeq lists it as uncharacterized. NCBI's taxonomy places the organism in Eukaryota, Metazoa, Chordata, Mammalia, Carnivora, Phocidae. The transcript has 6 exons. The record is from RefSeq and is a predicted model, not a curated record.